CCUCCUCCAGGCGCGCCCCCCCACCUCCCCCAGGCACGCGAGCAGGCAGUUCCACCUCGCCGCCGCCCUCACGCCACCUCCGCCCGCUCUCUCUCGCGCACGCGCUACACGCCUCCGCCGCCUCUGCUCGCCCACCGGAGGCCGAUUCACCACCUCCGGCGCGCGACACGCCGCCGCCGCCGCUCACCCACUGGAGGCCGAUUCACCACCAAACACGGAGAAGCUCCGAAGGAGAAUCGCCACCACAAAACAGCUCCGAAGCCGGCCGCCGCCGGCCGGAUUCCGGCCAAAUCCGGCCCUCUCCACCAUAGGUGAGUACACCACCUCCCUCUCCUCUUCCUUUUUCCCUCCUCUCUGGCAUCCCAAUCCCGCCCUGCCGCCGGCGAGCUGGCCCUCUCCGCCAUAGGUGAGCACACCCCCUGAGUUCCCCUCCCUCUCCUCCCCUUUCCCCUCCUCUCCGGCAUCCCAAUCCCGCCCUGCCACCGGCGAGCUCGUCAGCCGAUCGCCCUGUCUGCCAUGGCCAGGACCCGUGGCGGAGGCUCACUCUCCGGCCUCGCGGGACGCGUCCUCCGCCCCUCGCUUUACGCCUCCUCCUUCCUGGCCAGCGCGCAGGGCAUCUUAGCUGCGAGGUCUGUGCCUCCUCAGGCUGAGGACUUUGAGGAUAAGAGAUCACUGGCCAUGCUUAUAGUUCAUUGCUUGCGAGCGGUCUGCUAAAAGUUUCAGUGACAAGCUUUUAUUGCUCACGUGAAGAAAUUCUUGUGGACAAUGAGGGGAACGCAGGGUGCUCCCAUCAUUGCAUCAACAAUUCAGAUCAUACUUGGUUUCAGUGGGCUCUGGCGCAAUGUUCUCAAAUUAUUAAGUCCAUUAUCAGCUGUUCCUUUGGUAUCACUUGUUGGAUUUGGACUUUAUGAGAUUGGCUUCCCAGAGGUAGCUAAAUGUGUCCAAGCUGGCAUUCCAGAACUCCUCCUGUUGGUUGUAUUUUCUCAGUAUUUGCCUCAAGUUUUGCAUUUCGGGAAGGAUGUCUUUGGAAGGUUUGGUGUUCUUCACUAUCCCUAUCGUGUGGAUCUACGCAUACCUUCUCAUCAUCGGUGGUGCUUACAAGAAUUCUUCACCGAAGACGCAGGUGCAUUGCCGUGUUGAUCGUUCAGGUCUUGUUGCAGGAGCUUCUUGGAUAAGUGUCCCCUAUCCCUUUCGGUAGGGUGCUCUAACAUUUGAUGAUGGAGAAGCUUUUGGAAUGAUGAUGACUUCAUUCAUUGCUCUUGUAGAGUCAACUGGCACUUUAGGUGCUUCAAGAUAUGCAAGCGCAACUGUCAAGGCAUUGGUAUCUUACUUGAUUCAUUUUUUGGGAUAGCUAAUGGGACAUCAGUUUCAGUGUAAGUAUAUAUGUGAAAUUUGAAGUGUCAAUCCUUUUUUUUUCAGAACCGAAUGUUUUGCCAAUAUGCAAUAUGAAUUUUUUGCUUACAGUGAGCAAAUACAGUUCUGGAUUAUAAGUGCCAGUUAGCAAAUACAGUGAUAGGGUUCAUAUGAUACUUUUUUUUUCUUCCUACAAUUGAUUGUAUGCAUUGCUUUGUGAACCAGCCCACUCACUCUUCGGGUAAUUCAGUCUUACUCCUUCCUGCAUUGCACUACAGAUUACUACUACCCUUCUUGUUUGUGAGUAAACUAAUUGAUUACUUAUCUCUAUUUUUC
Molecule: long non-coding RNA, 1689 nt
Organism: Panicum virgatum (switchgrass)
Lineage: Eukaryota; Viridiplantae; Streptophyta; Magnoliopsida; Poales; Poaceae
Exons: 8
Source: RefSeq, a predicted model, not a curated record